RNAcentral lists this ribosomal RNA (274 nucleotides) under uncultured bacterium. RNAcentral describes it as "partial 16S ribosomal RNA". It matches the Rfam family "Bacterial small subunit ribosomal RNA", at positions 78 to 355 of the family's 1533-position model. The record is from RNAcentral.
CUUCGGCUGCGAACCCAGUGGCGGACGGGUGAGUAACGCGUAGGAAUCUACCUGGUAGUGGGGAUAACUCGAGGAAACUCGGGCUAAUACCGCAUACGACCCAAGGGUGAAAGCGGGGGAUCUUCGGACCUCGCGCUAUCAGAGGAGCCUGCGUUGGAUUAGCUUGUUGGUGGGGUAAUGGCCUACCAAGGCGACGAUCCAUAGCUGGUCUGAGAGGAUGAUCAGCCACACUGGAACUGAGACACGGUCCAGACUUCUACGGAAGGCAGCAGUA